CUGAAUACUCUCCGAAGGCGCUGUAGAUUAGUAGAAUGUGCAUUUCUUAGGUCUAGGUGUCUGAAUACUCUCCGAAGGCGCUGUAGAUUAGUAGAAUGUGCAUUUCUUAGGUCUAGGUGUCUGAAUACUCUCCGAAGGCGCUGUAGAUUAGUAGAAUGUGCAUUUCUUAGGUCUAGGUGUCUGAAUACUCUCAGAAGGCGCUGUAGAUUAGUAGAAGGUGCAUUUCUUAGGUCUAGGUGUCUGAAUACUCUCCGAUGGCGCUGUAGAUUAGUAGAAUGUGCAUUUCUUAGGUCUAGGUGUCUGAAUACUCUCCG
This is a long non-coding RNA of Oncorhynchus tshawytscha (Chinook salmon), 314 nucleotides long. The record is from Ensembl. Lineage: Eukaryota; Metazoa; Chordata; Actinopteri; Salmoniformes; Salmonidae.